UCUGAGACAGCAUGAAGUGAUGCUCU
Molecule: non-coding RNA, 26 nt
Filed under: Homo sapiens (human)
Lineage: Eukaryota; Metazoa; Chordata; Mammalia; Primates; Hominidae
Source: RNAcentral